GAAUUUUCACUGUUCCCUU
This 19-nucleotide small nuclear RNA is filed under the name Parhyale hawaiensis. RNAcentral's name for it is "spliced leader precursor". Lineage: Eukaryota; Metazoa; Arthropoda; Malacostraca; Amphipoda; Hyalidae. The record is from RNAcentral.